AGCAAGCGGUUAAAUUUCAGCGGCUGGUGUCAGUAAUCCUGGGCUCGCAUCCCAGCUCUGUUCUGUGUGGCCUUAGGAGAGUGGUUUCAACUCUCUGAGC
Non-coding RNA from Vicugna pacos (alpaca), 100 nucleotides. NCBI's taxonomy places the organism in Eukaryota, Metazoa, Chordata, Mammalia, Artiodactyla, Camelidae. The record is from RefSeq and is a predicted model, not a curated record.